This 494-nucleotide ribosomal RNA is filed under the name uncultured bacterium. RNAcentral describes it as "partial 16S ribosomal RNA". It matches the Rfam family "Bacterial small subunit ribosomal RNA", at positions 28 to 507 of the family's 1533-position model. The record is from RNAcentral.
GACGAACGCUGGCGGCGUGCUUAACACAUGCAAGUCGAACGGAAAGGCCUGCUUUCCCUUGUGGAUUGCGGGUACUCGAGUGGCGAACGGGUGAGUAACACGUGAGUGAUCUGCCCCCAACUUGGGUAUAAGCCUGGGAAACUGGGUCUAAUUCCCGAUAGGACUGCAGGGUGGUGCCUGUGGUGGAAAACGAUUUUCUAGUGGUUGGGGAUGAGCUCGCGGCCUAUCAGCUUGUUGGUGGGGUAAUGGCCUACCAAGGCGGCGACGGGUAGCCGGCCUGAGAGGGUGGACGGCCACAUUGGGACUGAGAUACGGCCCAGAUUCCUACGCGAGGCAGCAGUGGGGAAUAUUGCACAAUGGGCGGAAGCCUGAUGCAGCGACGCCGCGUGGGGGAUGCCGGCCUUCGGGUUGUAAACUCCUUUCGACCGCGAGGAAGCCACCUGGUUGGAAGGGUGGUGACGGUAGUGGUAGAAGAAGCACCGGCUAACUACGUG